This is a long non-coding RNA of Dromaius novaehollandiae (emu), 1232 nucleotides long. RefSeq lists it as uncharacterized. The transcript is spliced from 4 exons. Lineage: Eukaryota; Metazoa; Chordata; Aves; Casuariiformes; Dromaiidae. The record is from RefSeq and is a predicted model, not a curated record.
UGAAGCAUAGGAAUGCAAACUGCUUGUAACUCCCUUAUCUUUCCAGUCUGCACCAGCUCUGGGGCCCUUUCUCACUGCCUAAGGCUUCAGCAAAUUUAGCUACUCAUGCUAAGCAAGUUUUAUAGAAGUUGUGCUAAGUGGCAAUAAUUUACAGUCCAGGUCCCAAAGUCUCUGCCUGAUCGUGCCCUGUUUUGGCACAGGCUCGGUGUGUCCCAGGUGGUCGCAGAGAGGCAAUUUCGGGGGUCGCAGCAGCUCAGUCCUGUUUCCACCGGGAACAGAUGGCUUGUUCGGGAUUAUGGUUUGCUUGCACCUUAUGUACCAAGAAAUGUUUAAGGCAAAAGUUCACUCAUCUGUCUGCCACAGACUGCUCCUUUUUGCAUUGUUUUUUAUCAUCUGUGGUUUAUUUUUGUUUUUUUUUUUGAUUCCAGCUAUCUCUUUUGCUGUGAUGCAAGCUCUCAGAAGCAUGAACUCCAUGUUCAGGCCAGCACCCAAAAGUAAGAAAGAAAACUUUAGCUACUGCUGACUGAGUGAUAAUAAAAAUAUGCUGAAUGUGAACUGUCAGUGCUUUAGAGGGAAGGUAGUGCUGCUAUCACACCACUUACACUAGGAAUAUAAAGACUGAAAGUGUCUACAGCCAGUGCCAAGGCCAGGUAUCCAAAGAGAGUAAAGGGGAAAAGGAGAUCAUUUGGACUGACUUGAGAGAAGAGCAAUUUGGCAAUUUCUAUUCUGUAUGCAGAUGCUGGAAAGCAGCACAAGCUAACUGAACACCACUAUCGUUUGGAGUCUUCCUACAGCACAGUAAGCCUGAGACAUGAUAGAGCAUGGAAAAGACUGGAGAUCUCAUGGGGGAGGUGAGACAGAGUUUCUUCAGCAUUCAGUGGAGUUAAACUGGACAGGAUGGCACCUGUGCUCCAAGCCCUGUUGCCAAAGUAGAAAACAAAUCUCAUUUUCAUCUCUGAAUUCAUAUCAGAAUUGAAUUAUCGAUAUUUCCACUGGCUCAUGGGCAAGAGCAAAAAGUACAUUUUGCUGUGAAGGUGAGGAGUGCAUAUUGAUUUGAAAUAGGAGAUUCAACAUGUUUCAUAUCUUUUCAUAUAAAAUGCUUUCAUUUUGUUGUAAGCAGAGAUGAACUGAAGCAUUGACAUUUGGAUCUGGAUGAUGUUUAGGCUUCUGAUUUUAGCUCUGACCCUUAUUCAAAAGCACAGAAUGGAUUUGCACUGAAAAAUUUGAAUUCA